AUAUUGUGCGUUGAGUGCAGGUGAGAAGCUGCGUUCAGGUUCGAGCCGAGCGAAGCGAGACAGCGUUGCGCUUGUCGCAACGACCCCAAGGGCGAGGGCAAAGCCCUAGUCAUCCUGCACGACCCACCA
RNAcentral lists this small RNA (129 nucleotides) under Providencia alcalifaciens. RNAcentral describes it as "RtT sRNA". It matches the Rfam family "RtT RNA". Rfam says of the family: This family represents a bacterial cis-regulatory element known as RtT RNA. Lineage: Bacteria; Pseudomonadati; Pseudomonadota; Gammaproteobacteria; Enterobacterales; Morganellaceae. The record is from RNAcentral.